RNAcentral lists this ribosomal RNA (433 nucleotides) under uncultured bacterium. RNAcentral's name for it is "partial 16S ribosomal RNA". It matches the Rfam family "Bacterial small subunit ribosomal RNA", at positions 29 to 507 of the family's 1533-position model. The record is from RNAcentral.
AACGAACGCUGGCGGCAUGCCUAACACAUGCAAGUCGAACGAAACCUUCGGGUCUUGUGGCGCACGGGUGCGUAACGCGUGGGAACCUGCCCUUAGGGUCGGAAUAACUCCCCGAAAGGGGUGCUAAUACCGGAUAAUGUCUACUGACCAAAGAUUUAUCGCCUUUGGAUGGGCCCGCGUUGGAUUAGCUAGUUGUUAGGGUAAAAGCCUACCAAGGCGCCGAUCCAUAACUGGUUUGAGAGAAUGAUCAGCGACACUGGGACUGAGAAGCGGCCCAGAAUCCUCCGCGAGGCAGCAAUGGCGGAUGUUGGAAAGUCGCCGAAAGCAUGAUGCAGCAAUGCUGCGAGAGUGAUGAAGGCCUUAGAGUUGUAAAGCUCUUUUACCCGGGAUGAUAAUGACGGUACCGGGAGAAUAAGCUCCGGCUAACUCCGUG